UGGGGAAUAUUGGACAAUGGGCGAAAGCCUGAUCCAGCCAUGCCGCGUGAGUGACGAAGGCCUUAGGGUUGUAAAACUCUUCGUCGGGGACGAUAAUGACGGUACCCGAAGAAGAAGCUCCGGCUAACUUCGUGCCAGCAGCCGCGGUAAUACGAAGGGAGCUAGCGUUGUUCGGAAUCACUGGGCGUAAAGCGCACGUAGGCGGAUAGUUAAGUCAGGGGUGAAAUCCUGGGGCUCAACCCCAGAACUGCCUUUGAUACUGGCUGUCUCGAGGUCGAGAGAGGUUGGUGGAAUUCCUAGUGUAGAGGUGAAAUUCGUAGAUAUUAGGAAGAACACCAGUGGCGAAGGCGGCCAACUGGCUCGAUACUGACGCUGAGGUGCGAAAGCGUGGGGAGCAAACAGGAUUAGAUACCCCAGUAGUCCCUGAGCGGGCUGGCAAGGCGCAU
Molecule: ribosomal RNA, 446 nt
Filed under: uncultured bacterium
Lineage: Bacteria
Description: bacterial SSU rRNA
Rfam family: Bacterial small subunit ribosomal RNA
Source: RNAcentral